This is a long non-coding RNA of Choloepus didactylus (southern two-toed sloth), 1697 nucleotides long. RefSeq lists it as uncharacterized. The transcript is spliced from 3 exons. Lineage: Eukaryota; Metazoa; Chordata; Mammalia; Pilosa; Megalonychidae. The record is from RefSeq and is a predicted model, not a curated record.
UGACCAAGAAUGCAGGAAUCCAGAGAUAAGAGCUUCAGUCUCAAUUAAGUUUCUCUGAACUCCAGUUUCCUCUUCUCUGGGAAUAAUGAUACUUAGGUCAUCAAUCUCAUGAAUCUUGGAUGAAUACAGAAGAGAGAAAGCCAAGGAAGCAAGAUGCUGAAAGCGAUGAAACCCAGAAGAGAAGGGAAGACCAGCAGAUGCCGCCAUGUGCUCGCCAUGUGACAGAGGAGCUGGCAGCUGGUAUUCAGGAAGAAGGCAUUGUUUUGAUGAUGCCUUGAUUUGGACAUUUUCACAGCCUCAGAACUGAUGACCCACAGGCUACACUUCCCUCAACCUUCCAUCACAGGCAUUGCCUGGGGAGCUCACCGAGGUGUAGUUACCCUCAGAAAUGACCUGAGGGGACAGUGUCACCCUUAGGCAGGAGCAGACUUAGAUAAAAAAGAAAACAGGGUGUAUAGGACAAGACAGCACUGAAAGAAGAAAAACCCAGUGGCUUCCACACUAGAAGCAAUAAAAGGCAAAUUUGACAAUGCAAAAAUCAAAUCAAUAAUGGAAAUACUCCCAGAUGUGAAAUGAAUAAGGACGUUUUGAACAACUUGGAAUGUAGAAGGACAAGUCAUGGAAAUCCAACCUACAAAUAAUCUACAAGUCAAAGGCAUUCUUGAAGAAUAAAAUGAAACUGAAUCAUAAACCAUAAAAAUUUUGUCAAAAAAAAAACUUUACAGAUCUGCAAAGAAAACCAUAAUUGGAGGUUGAGAAGAUUCAACAUGAUCAAGGGGGAAAAAAUCAUGACAUUGUAUCAAGAAUAAGAAUUUUCCAGGCAAAAUUUUUAAUUUUUAAAUAAAAUGAUUCCUGCUGGCAAACAAACAAACAGACUUGGUUCCUUCAAAAGAUUUUAAAUAAACAGGACUGAGAUUUCUUCUUUGCAAUAACAAAUGCCAAAGACAGCAGAACGAUGUAUAAAGAGCUUUGGGGGAACAAAGUUAGACUCUAGAAUUUUAUCCCCAAACUGACUGCUGUUCAAGUUUGAAGACAACUAAAAGGUACUAUCGUAUCUGCAAAUAAGAGGUUUUUUUUUAAUCUUCUAAGAUUACCUUUAACUUUUUAAAUUAAAAUAGUUCAAUGUUGCAGAUUUAUAAAAUAUAGAAAAAAUAGAAAUUUAAAUCAUAUUACUAAACCCUGAAAAGAUCACUGUAGUUAAGAUUUUACCAAAAAGUUCCUUCUAAUCUUUGUUCUAUGCAUACUGUCGGAAACCAGGCUUCAGACUGUGUUUGUACUGAAACCUGCUGGAGUCACUGUUUGUCGUAGUCAUUUGGUCAGCAAGAAAGGGAAGUGGACGAAGCCGUUUUGAAAUUUUCCGAUAAAGAGGAACCUACAUGCUUUUUGUAGUGAUGAGUCAGAUUAAGACAGUUCAUUUAAGUGAAUGAUUUCCAUUUCUUACAGCAUACAUAUUACACAUUUAAAUGAAUAAUGCAUUUACCAAUUUUUUAUGUUGUCACAUAUUUCGCGUUGAGGGCCAAAUUUCUGGAAGAUUAAGAGGGAACUUGGAAUUAAAUGGCCCACAAAGGACUUCUAAUUAGAUUUGAAUAGCACAGGAAGCUGAUUGCUCCUUUCCACUAUCCAGCCUAGAAAGAAGCACAUGCAUGCACUUAAAUUUGAAUAAAAUCUUUCUCCACCUGUAUGGUGUCUUUGUGUAC